Molecule: ribosomal RNA, 585 nt
Filed under: uncultured bacterium
Lineage: Bacteria
Description: bacterial SSU rRNA
Rfam family: Bacterial small subunit ribosomal RNA
Source: RNAcentral
CGGGAUUACUCCUUACGGGUGGCAGCAGUGGGGAAUAUUGCCCCAAUGGGCGGAAGCCUGAUGCAGCAACGCCGCGUGCGGGAUGACGGCUUCGGGUUGUAAACCCGCUUUCGCCUGUGACGAAGCGUGAGUGACGGUAAUGGGUAAAGAAGCACCGGCUAACUACGUGCCAGCAGCCGCGGUGAUACGUAGGGUGCGAGCGUUGUCCGGAUUUAUUGGGCGUAAAGGGCUCGUAGGUGGUUGAUCGCCUCGGAAGUGUAAUCUUGGGGCUUAACCCUGAGCGUGCUUUCGAUACGGGUUGACUUGAGGAAGGUAGGGGAGAAUGGAAUUCCUGGUGGAGCGGUGGAAUGCGCAGAUAUCAGGAGGAACACCAGUGGCGAAGGCGGUUCUCUGGGCCUUUCCUGACGCUGAGGAGCGAAAGCGUGGGGAGCGAACAGGCUUAGAUACCCUGGUAGUCCACGCUGUAAACGGUGGGUACUAGGUCUGGGGUCCAUUCCACGGGUUCCGUGCCGUAGCUAACGCUUUAAGUACCCCGCCUGGGGAGUACGGCCGCAAGGCUAAAACUCAAAGGAAUUGACGGGAAUC